UGAUGGUUCAGUCAGUAAAGCAUGCGACUCUUAAUCUCAGGGUCCUGAGUUUCAGCCCCAUGUUGCACAA
This is a non-coding RNA of Podarcis lilfordi (Lilford's wall lizard), 70 nucleotides long. The record is from the annotation of a GenBank genome assembly. Lineage: Eukaryota; Metazoa; Chordata; Lepidosauria; Squamata; Lacertidae.